This 236-nucleotide ribosomal RNA is filed under the name uncultured bacterium. Its description in RNAcentral is "partial 16S ribosomal RNA". It matches the Rfam family "Bacterial small subunit ribosomal RNA", at positions 81 to 334 of the family's 1533-position model. The record is from RNAcentral.
CUUGAUGGAGGGGAGCGGCAGACGGGAGAGUAACACGUGGGAACGUACCCUUUGGUUCGGAACAACCCAGGGAAACUUGGGCUAAUACCGAAUAAGCCCUUACGGGGAAAGAUUUAUCGCCGAAGGAUCGGCCCGCGUCUGAUUAGCUAGUUGGUGAGGUAACGGCUCACCAAGGCGACGAUCAGUAGCUGGUCUGAGAGGAUGAUCAGCCUCACUGGGACUGAGACACGGCCCAG